UUCCUCCUCUGUGAUUGGGCGUACUAAUCUUGCUGUAUUAUUUGUUAACGUCUGUGUGCAGUCCAAAUGAGCGCCAGUUGCUAAAAAAGGAAUACACUUAACAGAACUGCAGUAGCAAAGUGUUCAGCCAUAAAACAUAGCUAGCAGAGCAAGCUAGCGGGUCUAUAUUAACAGAAGUACAUGAGUCGUCCAGCGGUUGAAAUCAAAAAUGAACAUCUUCCAAAAGGUGGGUGAUCUCCAAAAGAGAGGCAGAGUCUGUCGGAACGCAGGCAUAUCAAGUCUUACAGAGAGACUAAACACGACACAUGGAUCAUAUGUAUAGUCGGCAGCUGCGGCCGACGGUGGUGCGUCUAGAGACAAUGCACAGUGAGAGAGGCGGCUUGCACUUGAAAUGAAGGCGCAUGUGUCACCUAACAAAGUACCUGUGAGGGUAAGCUUACAUCAACAUUUAUGAAGCAACAAAACUUUGAAGUGUAUUUUUCACUUCUGAUUUAGAAAAAAAAAAACUAAUCCCAUGAUGCUUUGUUUAUAAUAUUUGCAAGAGAUCGAAGCUUGGAACUGGAUCAUAUGAUCCUAACAGGAUAGGUCCAUUCUAUUUCAUCGUUUUCCCAAUAUUUGCUCGCUUACUGACAACAAAAUAUUUAGAUAAGAAACUGUAUGUGCUAGCAAGUGUUGCUUCCUGUCAGUUGAGGUGCAGUUCUAGUUACACAACACAUAAUGAAUUUGAGUUAUUAAUGGCAAAGAACCUACAAAUAACCUACACGAAGUCAAUGGUUAUCCCCAGAUCAAUUACAGAGGCUAAAACUUUCAACCGAGAGCCAUUGUAAUUAAAAUGAACUUGUUUUUCUUUUGUCUACAGAACUUGAAGAAACUGACCACACAAUAGAGGAGAAGGCAUCUGCAAGGAAUGGCUCUAUCUACAAGUGAAUCAAGUAGUGAGCUACACGCAGAAAUAACAGUGUCAUCUAGCAUCAAUUUUUGGGGCUGGAGUGUAUUAACUAUGACAGACCACUUCAGAAAUAAUUCUCCACUCCUAUCUAUAUGACCUACUCAGUUUAAGGAAAAGAGCAUUGAGAUUGGAUCAAUAUUAGUUCUAUGUAAAUAUAAAAAUCUAGCAAAGUCCUUGGUGGUUUGUACAUGUUAUUAAAUGGUACCAUGGCAUGUGGGUUCAAGGUACACAUAAUUUAUAAAUGGUUAUAACAAGAUUCUAACCUUGACUCUAAUUUGUAAAUGUUUGUACAUGGUAGCACAACAGAUUAGGAUCAGGCCUCUUAUUAUUGAAGGUAGGUGUGAGACAGAUCUGAUUUUCUCCUUAUAUUACACCAUUCCUUGCAGUUUGAGGGAAUUGCAUGUCUCCAGUAAAGCAAAUUAAGCAUAUACUACUAAGAAACUAAAGAGUCCAUGGUGGCAUUCAGAAUAAUAAGAAAAAUAUAAUGAAGAACAAAACUUACUAACCCGAAAGCAGCCACAUAUGGUAAAACUGUUCCAUAUCGAAUGCUCAAAAAAUAAAUAAUCAUCUUAUUAGCUAUGGAGUUCAACAAUUGUAAAUAUAGUUCAUUUUAGUAAUGUAAUGCCCAGAAAAAAGAAACACCAGCACUGUCCAAACCCAUCAUUUCAUCUUCUCAUUUUCAAUGUAAAAGCAUGGACUGCACAAACUGUUGUCUAAAUCCAGCACUCAUUGCACAAGAAAAUUAAGAACAUGGAGAGAUAGGAGAAGAUGUAACCAGUGCAUGGUCCAUCUCAACCCUCGAUGAAGAACCAUCAAGCAUACUUGAACAACCAAGAAACAACCGAAGCCGUGUUCGAUGGAAGCUCGAGGUAGGAAUCAUUUAAGAUCUGCACCAUAUGUGAUAUUAAAUGUGUAUAUCCACAAGGAUAUAAGCACCGGCAACAAAAGAGGAAUGAAUUGAGAGUACUUGCUUUCAAGAUUUUCUGUUUUAACACCACUCGUCGAUUGAGCCAUGAAACAUUGACCAAAACUUGCUCAACUGCGCCUACAAGCACAACACGCACAGCACACAACACAACAUAGUAUGCUCUACCUAGUUUAUAGAGUAUAUAACCACAAUUACUAAAACCCAUCCAAAUAGUAUUGUGUCAAGUUGAUCUGAGAAGGUGGUUAAAUAGACUAACAUGUCUGUGUACCAUUUUUUCAUUUCUAAUUUUAGCACAAGUCAAUUCGUCAUGAUACAAUGGAUACACACACACACAUAGUAUGCUCUACCUAGUUUCAGUCAUCCAAAACUGAACCAAAACGUGACGCACACACACAGUUUGCUCUAGUUUCAGCCAUGGCAUCUAAGACAGGAGUUUAACCAAAACGAGAUGUGUACAAACUGAAAUAGAGUAUAACCAAAACGUACAAACUGCACUUGAUGUUCAGAUCUAGGGGUAGAUGGGGGAGAGGAGAAACUCACCACAUUGGUGUUGGGUGGAAGGUAAAGAGGGAUGUUGGCCUGCUCCUCUGGCCACUCUACCUGCAGAGACGAGAGAGGCGGGGUCAGUGAGAGAAGAGAUGGCAGAUGAGAGGAGAUAAGAUCAUUUCAACAAACAGAUCAAAUACACGGCCGCCUGGAUCCAGAUCCGCCCUCUUCCUCUGUCCACCGCCUCAUCCCCACGACAUCUCUCCUUCCUCGAUCUAAAUCCAAAUCCAACACACACACAAAGAGAAAAUGGAUUUCAUUGUGGGCGCGGGAGGAACGUCCAUGAGGCGGAGCCACACGUGGGCGGGACGAGCCACCGCAGGCCGCCAGAGCCUCGCCGGCGACGAAGGGGACGCCGCGCCCGAAACCCUAGCCAUGGCUGAGGGUCGGCAGCGAGCGCGGGAGGCCGGAUCUGGAGGGAUGGGAGGAAGGAGCAGAGCAAGGGGAGGUCGUCAGUCUGCCACCUGCCAUCGGGACUCGCCGGAAUCGGCCGGCGUGAGUGGCGGUGGGGGCGAGGAGUCGCGGGGCAAGAGAGGGCUCGCGAGAGAGAUGGAGUGACAAUUUUGAUCUAGGGACGAAACCAUU
RNAcentral lists this long non-coding RNA (3008 nucleotides) under Triticum aestivum (bread wheat). Its description in RNAcentral is "long non-coding RNA (TAES_LNC008487)". The record is from RNAcentral. Lineage: Eukaryota; Viridiplantae; Streptophyta; Magnoliopsida; Poales; Poaceae.